AUGAUUUUGAGUUCUGUCCUUUGUCCUGCACCUGUGAAAAUAAGCUAUCAAUUUACUUUGCCAAACUGAAAUUCAAAAGAACUGUUUUAGGGGAAUUACUUUGUGGACAAAUUGUGAGGGAGGUAUGUAGCUUAUCUUUGUAGCUAUCUUAUUUCGGAAUAAAAUGGGAGGCAGGUUUGCCUGGUGCAAUUCCAAGCCUGACUUUUCCCUUUGGCUUAGUGAUUUGGUGGUCCCAAGAUUUAUUUUCCUUUCAUAUUCCCAUGUUUACCUGAAGUAUGCAUGCUAAUUAAUUUGUUUUUCUCCUCUUAAUGUCUUUUUUGUUGUAGGGACCCAUUCCAACUGAGAACUUUAAAGAUGAUUGAUAUCCCUUUGUAACACAGUAUGGAUAAUCUUCGUGAAUGUUCUUUGUGCUCCUGAAGAGAAGCUCUGUGCGUGCUGCCAAAAUGAAAAUGAACUAUGUCAGUGCCGUGAUGUCCAGUUGAGCUGUGACCUGGAUUCUGGUCUCGCAUACACAGAAGCAACUGAAAGCUGAGAAUGAGGGGCCGCCGAUGGCUGGGUGUGUGGGGGCAUUGUAUUACUUGAGCCCAUCCCUUGAAAAGCUUAGGACUCCACCACCUCCACUGGGAACUCAUCAACUCCUGGCAAGAAGAAUGUCCCUGGGCACGGGGGACAGGGAUCAGCUGUCCGAGGUGAGAGUCCUCCCUGGUGAGCCCACA
Molecule: long non-coding RNA, 716 nt
Filed under: Pan troglodytes (chimpanzee)
Lineage: Eukaryota; Metazoa; Chordata; Mammalia; Primates; Hominidae
Description: long non-coding RNA NONPTRT016973
Source: RNAcentral